GACAACGCUGGCGGCGUGCUUAACACAUGCAAGUCGAACGGUGACGAGGAGCUUGCUCCUCUGAUCAGUGGCGAACGGGUGAGUAACACGUGAGCAACCUGCCCCAGACUCUGGGAUAACAGUUGGAAACAGCUGCUAAUACCGGAUACGAGACGGAGAGGCAUCUCUACCGUCUGGAAAGUUUUCGGUCUGGGAUGGACUCGCGGCCUAUCAGCUAGUUGGUGAGGUAAUGGCUCACCAAGGCGACGACGGGUAGCCGGCCUGAGAGGGCGACCGGCCACACUGGGACUGAGACACGGCCCAGACUCCUACGGGAGGCAGCAGUGGGGAAUAUUGCACAAUGGGCGAAAGCCUGAUGCAGCGACGCCGCGUGAGGGAUGACGGCCUUCGGGUUGUAAACCUCUUUCAGCAGGGAAGAAGCGAAAGUGACGGUACCUGCAGAAGAAGCACCGGCUAACUACGUG
This 464-nucleotide ribosomal RNA is filed under the name uncultured bacterium. Its description in RNAcentral is "bacterial SSU rRNA". It matches the Rfam family "Bacterial small subunit ribosomal RNA", at positions 32 to 507 of the family's 1533-position model. The record is from RNAcentral.